GCGCGGUUAGUGUAGUGGUCUAACACGUCCACACAGCAUGUGGAAAAUCCUAGGUUCGAAUCCUAGACUGCGCA
RNAcentral lists this transfer RNA (74 nucleotides) under Neurospora crassa. Its description in RNAcentral is "tRNA-Ala (AGC) (tRNA-Ala-AGC-3-1)". It matches the Rfam family "tRNA". Rfam says of the family: Transfer RNA (tRNA) molecules are approximately 80 nucleotides in length. Their secondary structure includes four short double-helical elements and three loops (D, anti-codon, and T loops). RNAcentral also lists the same sequence under 1 other name. Lineage: Eukaryota; Fungi; Ascomycota; Sordariomycetes; Sordariales; Sordariaceae. The record is from RNAcentral.